This 253-nucleotide ribosomal RNA is filed under the name uncultured bacterium. Its description in RNAcentral is "partial 16S ribosomal RNA". It matches the Rfam family "Bacterial small subunit ribosomal RNA", at positions 524 to 776 of the family's 1533-position model. The record is from RNAcentral.
UACGAAGGUGGCAAGCGUUGUUCGGAAUCACUGGGCUUAAAGGGCAUGUAGGCGGCCGUGUAAGCGCUUUGUGAAAUCCCCCGGCUCAACCGAGGAAUUGCUGGGCGAACUGCACGGCUUGAGGCAAGUAGGGGUGCGUGGAACUCUUGGUGGAGCGGUGAAAUGCGUAGAUAUCAAGAGGAACGCCGGCGGCGAAAGCGGCGCACUGGGCUUGUCCUGACGCUGAUAUGCGAAAGCUAGGGGAGCAAACGGG